AUGUGUUUGCAUGCAGUAGGUCUAGAUGUGGUUGUAGAGCAUAUUCCGGUGGAGAUACAAGCAGUUUUGGAGUUUCAGGCAGUCUUUGAGGAGCCGACAGGGCUGGCCCCUCCUCGGGCAUGGGAUCACUCCAUUCCCAUCCUCCCAGGAGCCAAACCAGUGAAUAUUUGGCCCUACAAAUAUACACCUGAACAGAAAAAUGAGAUCGAGGCCCAAGUGAAAGAAAUGCUCAAGGCAGGGCUGAUUGUACCUAGCGCAAGCCCGUAUUCUUCGCCUCUUUUGCUCAUCAAAAAGAAGGAUAUGACUUGGCGUCUAUGCGUGGACUAUCGUCACAUGAACGCCAUCACAGUCAAGAUCACUUAUUCAAUGCCAGUGAUCGAUGAGCUCCUAGAUGAACUAGCCGGUUUGUGUUGGUUCUCAAAAUUAGACCUCCGAGCAGGAUAUCACCAGAUCCGUCUACGCGAGGAAGAUGAGCCGAAGACGGCCUUCAAAACACAUCAAGGGCAUUAUCAAUUUAGAGUGUUGCCGUACGGUGUUAUGGGGGGACCGACAACAUUUCAAGGGGGGGUCACUAUUGGAAAUAGCUUCUUUGUCGUCUGCCAUGGCAGACGGCAAAGGCAUAUCCUUGACGCCAAACAUCUUUGUCGUCCGCCAGUAGACGGAAAACUGUCCGUUUGA
Molecule: ribosomal RNA, 678 nt
Filed under: Triticum aestivum (bread wheat)
Lineage: Eukaryota; Viridiplantae; Streptophyta; Magnoliopsida; Poales; Poaceae
Description: partial small subunit ribosomal RNA
Source: RNAcentral